This 74-nucleotide transfer RNA is filed under the name Candidatus Levybacteria bacterium RIFCSPHIGHO2_01_FULL_40_15b. Its description in RNAcentral is "tRNA-His". It matches the Rfam family "tRNA". From Rfam's summary of the family: Transfer RNA (tRNA) molecules are approximately 80 nucleotides in length. Their secondary structure includes four short double-helical elements and three loops (D, anti-codon, and T loops). Further hydrogen bonds mediate the characteristic L-shaped molecular structure. tRNAs have two regions of fundamental functional importance: the anti-codon, which is responsible for specific mRNA codon recognition, and the 3' end, to which the tRNAs corresponding amino acid is attached (by aminoacyl-tRNA synthetases). tRNAs cope with the degeneracy of the genetic code in two manners: having more than one tRNA (with a specific anti-codon) for a particular amino acid; and 'wobble' base-pairing, i.e. permitting non-standard base-pairing at the 3rd anti-codon position. Lineage: Bacteria; Candidatus Levyibacteriota. The record is from RNAcentral.
GUGGUUGUAGCUCAACAGUAGAGCGCCUGCUUGUGGAGCAGGAGGUCGCGGGGGCAGCACCCGUCUUCCACCCA